Molecule: long non-coding RNA, 1151 nt
Organism: Athalia rosae (coleseed sawfly)
Lineage: Eukaryota; Metazoa; Arthropoda; Insecta; Hymenoptera; Athaliidae
Exons: 3
Source: RefSeq, a predicted model, not a curated record
CAAGGGAUAAAAGUAAGAGAUACGAAAUCGGCAGGUAUGCGGAUCGAUCAUUCGAUAAUUGACAGUGCUCACGCGUAUCGUAGAUACGGGUUGCAUGCAAUGGAGAUAAAAGUGUGAUAAGCAGAUUUGCAAGAUGAUAUAGAAUCAGCGUUGUGUUGAACCGAAUCAAAGAGACGAAAUAAAACCAACAACUGACAUCGAUAAAAUAAAUGCACAGUUGGUUGGGAUUAAAAAGGAAAAAAAAAAAAAAAUGAAAGAAAAAAACCUCUCGGCGAGUUUAAAUUCCAGAUGAAGAUGAAGCAUGCGUCAUGAAUUAUUAAGGAGGUCUGCAAAGGCUUACAAUGAUAAGUAGCACAAUAAUCUGCGCUAUCAUUACAGAAAAUGAACGAAAGAUGGGGAAAUUCACGAAUACACUCGCAUGGAGAAGAAAUGCCGACCGAUACCGAUCGCGGGAUAAAAAUUAUUUCGGUCAAAAAUACGUAGGCAGCAGCUGUGUUUACGUUGCAUUACAUGAAUAUAAAUUAAUAACUGUAGUCAAUCGCAGUAGAGAGUACAGAAAUGCAAAUACAUACAGACAAACACAUAUUCUUGCUAUUUACUCUGGGAUGAUCGUCGAUUGACGGUGGAAAUAAAUAAAUGGAAAUCCAAGAUUCGUGACACGUUGCGCUUGUUGCACACAGUGGUAUGCGAUUUUUUUUCGUUGUAGGCUAUCAAAUCAAUUUUCCAGGUGAAAGUUUGAAUGAACUAUUUUUUCGAUUCAUCGAUUUCUCUGAGAUCUUGAAAGUUUCAUUGAAGCUUUUUGGUCCUCUUUUUAAUUUGUUCCAUUUCGUACAUUGUUUGUCGAUUUUAUUCUCUUGGCCGGUAGUCGAGUUAUGAAUUACAACUAUUAUCGAGUACAUGCAAAUCUACAGGGUGUCCAACUUCAGAUUAGUAAUUAUAAGGUAUCACAUUUUUUAAGGGAAAGAUCAUGGAGUGAUUAUCGAGGAGUCGAGAUGAGAGCUAUUUUUUCAAUAAGAAGAUGAAAGCAGUUAUCAUCCAAUGUCGUUGAAAUUUACGAAUGGUAGGUUUUUUUUUGUCUCUAGCUACGUUGCGACGUUGGAUAAAAAGGAUCUGAAUAAAAAUACCAUUUGGCUUAUGAGAUAUUCCUAAAU